GUCGCUAUGGCUUGGUGGUUGAGCAUACGAUUGCAAUCCAACAGUAUCGUGAGGUCCCGUGUUCGAACCACGGUAUCGGAUG
Mycena galopus ATCC 62051 is the source of this 82-nucleotide non-coding RNA. NCBI's taxonomy places the organism in Eukaryota, Fungi, Basidiomycota, Agaricomycetes, Agaricales, Mycenaceae. The record is from the annotation of a GenBank genome assembly.